RNAcentral lists this ribosomal RNA (254 nucleotides) under uncultured bacterium. Its description in RNAcentral is "partial 16S ribosomal RNA". It matches the Rfam family "Bacterial small subunit ribosomal RNA", at positions 524 to 776 of the family's 1533-position model. The record is from RNAcentral.
UACGUAGGGUGCAAGCGUUGUCCGGAAUUAUUGGGCGUAAAGAGCUCGUAGGCGGUCUGUCGCGUCGGCUGUGAAAACCCGAGGCUCAACCUCGGGCCUGCAGUCGAUACGGGCAAACUAGAAUACUGCAGGGGAGACUGGAAUUCCUGGUGUAGCGGUGAAAUGCGCAGAUAUCAGGAGGAACACCGGUGGCGAAGGCGGGUCUCUGGGCCGGCACUGACGCUGGAGACGCGAAAGCGUGGGGAGCAAACAGG